CGUGUGAUAAAUGUCUGAUACGUUAAAAGCGUUAGUCCUGUACACAUUCGUAGUGAGCUAAGUCCAUUAAAGUAUUAUUAUUUAUAAGAGUUAUUUUAUUAUCAUUUAAAUACGCAUCUGCACUCUCAUCCAUUGUUGGAGAUGCGUUAGGGAGGUGUCUGACGUCGAUGUUUGGAGGUGUGUUAGGGGCGGAGACUCGGGAGCGUUUUCACUCACCGUUCUGACUUCAUUCUGUAUCUGACGACGCAGAGAAAGGAUGUGUUUCACAGAGCAGUGGGCCUGUUAGGGGCGGAUGACGUUGAUGUUUGGAGGAGUGUUAGGGGCGGAGACUCGGGAGCGUUUUCACGCACCAUUCUGACUUCAUUCUGUAUCUGACAACGCAGAGAAAGGAUGUGUUUCACAGAGCAGCGGGCGUGUUAGGGAUGAGUCUGACGUCGAUGUUUGGAGGAGUGUUAGGGGCGGAGACUUGUGAGCGUCUUCACAGGCCGUUCUGACUUCAUUCUGAAUUUGCCAGGGAUGAGAUAGGACGUGUUUCACAGAGCAGUAAGAAUUAUUUAUUGUUAAAAAACUUUAAAAGUAAAUGUUAGAAAUGUUUUUGCUUGAAAAACCCAUUUGUAUUUUAACAGCUAUUGCUUGAUAUACUUAAUGUGCUUAAUGUUACUUAGUGCACUUGUUUUAUACUUUUGUUUCAGAAAAUCUAACAACAUUUUAAAUUGUCUUUGUGUUUUAAUUGUACAAUUCAUUAAUGUCUUUUAAAAACAUUUAAAUAUGUGAAAUAACUUUCUUUAAUAAAAACAUCCCUUAAAAACCCAAUGCCUGGCACCCCGAUACACUGUUUUACAUUUUAAAGUUUAACCACCGUUUUCAAACAUUUUCACUUCAAAAACACACAA
Molecule: long non-coding RNA, 893 nt
Organism: Megalobrama amblycephala (Wuchang bream)
Lineage: Eukaryota; Metazoa; Chordata; Actinopteri; Cypriniformes; Xenocyprididae
Exons: 3
Source: RefSeq, a predicted model, not a curated record